RNAcentral lists this long non-coding RNA (516 nucleotides) under Mytilus galloprovincialis (Mediterranean mussel). Lineage: Eukaryota; Metazoa; Mollusca; Bivalvia; Mytilida; Mytilidae. The record is from RNAcentral.
CUGAUUUUAUACAUUUUUAUAAAAUUUGUCUUACUGCAUUUCAACGUAUGUGAAACUUUAUUAUAUGGAUUCAGUUUCGUGUUCAUUGUUUAAGGAGAUGUAUUUGAAUUUAAGGAGCUUCCAUUUGAUUGUUAUGGGUUGAAAGAGGGUUGAGGGGGAGGGUGUGGUGGGGCUAAGAAGAAAUAGAAAAGAGGGCAGGACAGGAGUUUUGAGUAGAAAAAAAGGCAGAAUUAGCAACUUUGCCAAAAGAUGAUAAUUUAUGUAAACAAAUGUUAGGAUAAACUAAUAAACAAAGGCUGGAACGAAUAGAGUGAAAAAUAAAAAGGCAGAACGAACAGAGCUUACAACUAAACAAAAAUGCAGGACACAAUUAUCCAUCCUAGACCCCCUCAAAAUCAAAUGGUAGCUCCCUUAAGAUGAUCACAAUUUCCAUAAACAUACAUGUAUUCAGGCGACAAAUGGUGAAUGAGCAUACUGCAGGAAAUUAUUAUAUUUUCAGUGAAAGUUUUCACACGC